Molecule: non-coding RNA, 536 nt
Filed under: Perkinsus marinus ATCC 50983
Lineage: Eukaryota; Perkinsozoa; Perkinsida; Perkinsidae
Description: Eukaryotic small subunit ribosomal RNA
Rfam family: Eukaryotic small subunit ribosomal RNA
Source: Rfam by way of RNAcentral
GGGUGGUGGUGCAUGGCCGUUCUUAGUUGGUGGAGUGAUUUGUCUGGUUUAUUCCGUUAACGAACGAGACCUUAACCUGCUAAAUAGUUGCGCGAAACUUUAUGUUUCGUCGCUACUUCUUAGAGGGACUUUGUGUGUUUAACACAAGGAAGCUUGAGGCAAUAACAGGUCUGUGAUGCCCUUAGAUGUUCUGGGCUGCACGCGCGCUACACUGACACGAUCAACAAGUAUUUCCUUGCCCGGUAGGGUUAGGGUAAUCUUUUGAAAUCGUGUCGUGCUAGGGAUAGACGAUUGCAAUUAUUCGUCUUCAACGAGGAAUUCCUAGUAAAUGCAAGUCAUCAGCUUGCGUUGAUUACGUCCCUGCCCUUUGUACACACCGCCCGUCGCUCCUACCGAUUGAGUGAUCCGGUGAGCUGUCCGGACUGCGAUUAGUUCAGUUUCUGUUCUCUUCGCGGGAAGUUCUGCAAACCUUAUCACUUAGAGGAAGGAGAAGUCGUAACAAGGUUUCCGUAGGUGAACCUGCGGAAGGAUCAUUC